UUAAAUAAUAUGAUUUCGAUAAUAUAUAGGUCAAGAUAAGUCGAGAUUGGGAUUAGAUCGGGGAAAAAGAAAAGUGGACGAAUAGUCGAUAAUUUUCAUCCGAGCAACUCGAGGUAAGUUCGUAUAAUUAGAAUUAAACUUUUAAAUACUUGUAAUUGUUUGAAAUGAAUGUAUAUAGUUGAGGAAUUGAAGUACUUGAAAUACAAAUGCCUUAUUGAUAUAGUCUGAUGGUUAUCGAGCCCCGUUUGAAUCGUAGGAAUUCGUAGGUUGUAUGUAACUAAGGUUACCGUUUUGGUCGAGAUCUUGCGUGUGUUGCGUACUCACCACAGCUCGUAUGAGCUUACCGAUAUAUCAGCUCAAUAGAGCUUACUGUCCCUCAGCUCAGGAAGAGCUUACUAAUCAUAGCUCGAAAAAGCAGAAAAGAUAAUGAAUCAACGAAUUACUGAUUUAUAUGUAAUGUAUAUCACCCGAGUAUCCCUCGAUAUUCUAAUAGGUUCAACAGGCAUAAAUUUUGUUAUUAGUUAAAAAGCUAUGUGUCUAUAUUGAUGAGUUACUGUUAUCGAAUGAAUUGUUUAUACGAUUGAGAGUGAAUUGUUACAAAUGAUGUAUGUGAUAUACGGAUUUGAUAUGAUACAAUGUAUUGAGUAUUAAAUUGAGAUAAUGGAUGAUUCAUGUACUUAUGUGACUAACUUGUUGAUGAAUGUUUGUGUUUAGCCAUUUGGAAAUUAAAUUGAGUAUACCUUAUUUAUUGUAUUGAUUAUGUAUAAAUGGUAAGUUUAAUUCUAAAUUAUACGGGCUUACUAAGCUAUUAAGCUUACUCUGUUUCUUUUCCAUGUUUUAUAGAGGUUCGAUAGCUCACUCGAUUCAGAUAAAGUAGGAGAUACAUAUCACACUAUCCAGUUGCCGAUUGGUACUUUUGAACUUAUGGAUAUAUGUAAAUAUGACAUGUUGAACUAAUGGAUAUAUGUAAAUGUGGCAUGUAUAGGCUAGAUAUAAAGAUGAUAGUUAUGGUUACUUGAGAUAGUAACUUUGGUACAUGUUGUGGUAUAAGUUAGAGCCAUGUGAUUUGGCUUAACUUUUAUAAUGUUUUGGUUGUGUAUCAGUAUUCAAAUAUGGUAUGUUUUGGAAAGUAGUAAAUGCAAUGGUAAUAUGCAAAUGUUGUCUUGAUAUGUAGUAGGCAUAUGAAUAGAAAAUGCAUGAUAUUAAUUGGGUAUUUGAAAACUAUGUUGAAUUGGUAUAAAAUGUGUAUGAAAUGUUGUGGAUUGCUACUUAAUGAGUUAUAAAAUAUGGCAAUUUAUGCUUGUGUAGGUAUGUAAAACUAGGGAGGCAAAAUGGCUUUGCAAAUAGCCUAUUUUUGUCCACACGGGCAGAGACACAGGCGUGUGUCUCGGCCAUAUGUGACACACAGUCAUGUUACAAAGCCGUGUGUCCCUUGGUAUUGAAAUUAAAAUGAAAUUAGUAUACUCCACACGGUCUCACACACGGGCGUGUGACUGGUCGUGUGGUACAAGUUAGUAUACCCUACAGGUUUGGCACGGCCUAGCACACGGGUGUGUGUGGCCACUUCGAAGGGCACAUGGGCUAGAUACACGGGCGUGUGGUUGGCUGUGUGACCCAAGUCAGUAUGUACCCCCUGUUUUCACACGGCCUAUGACAUGUGCGUGUCUGGUGGCCGUGUGAGACACACAGCCUAGCUACACAGGCGUGUGUCUCCUAUUUUGAGAAAAAUUUUCAAAGUUCUAUGAAAGUUCUUAAGUUACCGGUUUAGUCCUGAAUCACUCUUAAAACAUGUUUAAGGCCUCCUAGGCUAUUAUAAGGGUCAAAUUAAUUGAAAUUGAAUGAUGAAUAUUUGAAUUGAGAAAAUGUUUGCUAAAUGGAUGUUUAAUUGUUUUGAAAGUCAGGUAAUACUCCGUAACCCUUUUCCGGUGUUGAAUACAGGUGAGGGGUGUUACACGAAUUUGUAAAUAUGUUUAAUUGAAUGUUGUGUUUGUAUGUAAUGUGAAUUAUAUUGAUAUGAUUUAUUUGAUUGCUAUAAUGAAUGUUUGAGUACAUGCUUGAAAUGAUGAUAAAGUGGUAAGUCCCGAUUGAAUACUGAAUUCCGAUGAUUAUAUGUGCUUUCCCGAAACUAAUAAGGUCCUGCAUUUGUUGCGGACGAGAUUUAGCUCGGACGAGUAAUCUCAUUGAUCUUGUUAUAGAAAGGAUUUAACCUAGAUAGGUAAUCCCAAUAUAAUGCCUCUCAAACAUACGUUAUGAUUACAGUUUAGCCUGAACUGGUAAUCCUAAUCGAGCUCCUCUGAGCUUACAUUAUAUAAAGGAUUUAGCCUGAACUGGUAAUCCUGUUAUACGAUAUGUGGCUCGAGAGAGUGUUUCUUGGUUAAGUUCCUUAAUGGGUACACUUGAGUAAGAAAUUGACAGAUUAUUGAAUCAUACACUACGAGUGUACUACUUAAGUAUCCAUCAGAAUUUAAUGAUUCAACGGACAUAAAAAUCUUGACAUGGCAUGAAAAUCUUGAGAUGAAAUGAUAAUGACUUGAAAGAAUAUUGCUUGAUGAGCUCAUCUAUGUUACUUGAUUGAUAUAAAGAUUUUGGUGACUAACAUGUUUGAUUGAAUGCAUUUGAUUAUGCAAUUUAGCCAAAUGGAUUGAAACAUAACAUUGUAUGCCUAGAUUAAAUAAACAAGAUUGGUAAGUUUAGUUUCCUUUAUACAAACUUACUAAGCUUGUAAUGCUUAUUCCAUUUUAUUUUUCCUCUAUUUUAUAAUGCUCGGAAGCUCGUGAAGGUUGGAAAAUCAUUGGAGCAUCGCCACACUAUCAACUAGUCAUUUUGGCAUAAUGGCAUGUAUAAGAAAACUUGGCCAAUAGUGGCUUGAAAUGUUAUUUUGUAACCUAGCCAUUGGAAUGGCUAGUAAUGGUUCAUUUGGGUAUGACUAAGUAGAUUAUUAUGAUAUAUAUAUACACAUGUGUUAUGUUAAGAAUAUGUGAUUAAUGUUGUGAAUGCCUAAGUUAAACUAAGGUAAGUUUGUGAACACAUAUGCAUGUAAUGAUUUGCCUUGUUGAAUGAUGGAAAUUGCCCAAUUUGAAUGC
RNAcentral lists this long non-coding RNA (3083 nucleotides) under Gossypium barbadense (sea-island cotton). RNAcentral's name for it is "long non-coding RNA (GBAR_LNC011467)". Lineage: Eukaryota; Viridiplantae; Streptophyta; Magnoliopsida; Malvales; Malvaceae. The record is from RNAcentral.